This is a long non-coding RNA of Raphanus sativus (radish), 507 nucleotides long. RefSeq lists it as uncharacterized. The transcript has 3 exons. Lineage: Eukaryota; Viridiplantae; Streptophyta; Magnoliopsida; Brassicales; Brassicaceae. The record is from RefSeq and is a predicted model, not a curated record.
GCUCCACCUAUAAAUGUGUAUGCUCCCAGCGAUAAACAGAGUAACUCCCGCAAAUCAGAAAGAACAAUCUCUGUUAAUCACCAUCUCCAACAAUGGCGAGUUCCUCCAUCUUGCUUGCUAAUUUACAAGCUAACCGCUGCUUAGACACUUUUCAGUGAUUGAGAGUAAUGAAUGGCGGGAGACACAUUUAAAGCACUUACAAACCUUGUGUGCUCAUGUUUGUUAGGAAUCGGUGAUAGCUUUCUUUUUCUCUAGCUUAUAGAGAAAGUUUGUAUCAAACAAAUAAUUUUGAAGCCUGCUUUGGACAAUGAUUGAUUGUGGCAUACUCAGGAUGAUCUGCAAGUCGGACUCAAAGACCUACAAGACUUUCUGAAACCAACGUAACAAGUGAAUUCUUACCAGGAUAUUUGAUCGAUAUAGUCAAUGUGAGAACUUACUUCCCUUUUGCUUGUGGUGUCCUUAAAUGUUUUAUGUUUUAAUCUUUUGGGAUUUGACCCCUUUUUUCUU